RNAcentral lists this ribosomal RNA (507 nucleotides) under uncultured bacterium. Its description in RNAcentral is "partial 16S ribosomal RNA". It matches the Rfam family "Bacterial small subunit ribosomal RNA", at positions 30 to 523 of the family's 1533-position model. The record is from RNAcentral.
AUUGAACGCUAGCGGCAUGCUUAACACAUGCAAGUCGAACGGUAACAGGCCUAGCUUGCUAGGCGCUGACGAGUGGCGGACGGGUGAGUAACGCGUAGGAAUCUACCUUGUAGAGGGAAAUAACCUGGGGAAACUCAGGCUAAUACCGCAUAAGCCCUAAGGGGGAAAGCAGGGCACUGUAACAGGCCUUGCACUAUGAGAUGAGCCUAGGUCGGAUUAGCUAGUUGGGAGGGUAAAGGCCUACCAAGGCGAAGAUCUGUAGCUGGUCUGAGAGUACGACCAGCCACACUGGGACUGAGACACGGCCCAGACUCCUACGGGAGGCAGCAGUGGGGAAUAUUGGACAAUGGGCGCAAGCCUGAUCCAGCAAUGCCGCGUGUGUGAAGAAGGCCUGCGGGUUGUAAAGCACUUUCAGUGGGGAGGAACGUUUUUAGCACUAAUACUGCUAAGAGGUGACGCUACCCAAAGAAGAAGCACCGGCUAACUCUGUGCCAGCAGCCGCGGUAA